Molecule: long non-coding RNA, 165 nt
Organism: Ornithodoros turicata
Lineage: Eukaryota; Metazoa; Arthropoda; Arachnida; Ixodida; Argasidae
Exons: 3
Source: RefSeq, a predicted model, not a curated record
GAAUCAUAUCGAUUGGUUCAACAGGAACUCUAUCGGAAGCUCUGACACCAUGUCCUGUCUUCGUACCAUCUUCGUUUUCGCUCUCAUCUUUGGUACCGUGGCUCUUCGAGCUGAAGCUGCACCGGGGCCUCUGCCGGGAGCAGAAGGGAAUGCCGUGCGCGUGCG